GAUGAACGCUAGCUACAGGCUUAACACAUGCAAGUCGAGGGGAAACGAUAUUGGAAGCUUGCUUCUGAUAGGCGUCGACCGGCGCACGGGUGAGUAACGCGUAUCCAACCUGCCCACCACUUGGGGAUAACCUUGCGAAAGUAAGACUAAUACCCAAUGAUAUCUCAAGAAGACAUCUGAAUGAGAUUAAAGAUUUAUCGGUGAUGGAUGGGGAUGCGUCUGAUUAGCUUGUUGGCGGGGUAACGGCCCACCAAGGCGAAGAUCAGUAGGGGUUCUGAGAGGAAGGUCCCCCACAUUGAAACUGAGACACGGUCCAAACUCCUACGGGAGGCAGCAGUGAGGAAUAUUGGUCAAUGGGCGAGAGCCUGAACCAGCCAAGUAGCGUGCAGGAUGACGGCCAUAUGGGUUGUAAACUGCUUUUAUAAGGGAAUAAAGUGGGCCUCGUGAGGCUUUUUGCAUGUACCUUAUGAAUAAGGACCGGCUAAUUCCGUGCCAGCAGCCGCCGUAA
RNAcentral lists this ribosomal RNA (508 nucleotides) under uncultured bacterium. RNAcentral describes it as "partial 16S ribosomal RNA". It matches the Rfam family "Bacterial small subunit ribosomal RNA", at positions 28 to 523 of the family's 1533-position model. The record is from RNAcentral.